RNAcentral lists this ribosomal RNA (492 nucleotides) under uncultured bacterium. Its description in RNAcentral is "bacterial SSU rRNA". It matches the Rfam family "Bacterial small subunit ribosomal RNA", at positions 30 to 518 of the family's 1533-position model. The record is from RNAcentral.
AUUGAACGCUGGCGGCAUGCCUUACACAUGCAAGUCGAACGGUAACAGGUCUUCGGAUGCUGACGAGUGGCGAACGGGUGAGUAAUACAUCGGAACGUGCCCGAUCGUGGGGGAUAACGCGGCGAAAGCUGUGCUAAUACCGCAUACGAUCUACGGAUGAAAGCGGGGGAUCGCAAGACCUCGCGCGGACGGAGCGGCCGAUGGCAGAUUAGGUAGUUGGUGGGAUAAAAGCUUACCAAGCCGACGAUCUGUAGCUGGUCUGAGAGGACGACCAGCCACACUGGGACUGAGACACGGCCCAGACUCCUACGGGAGGCAGCAGUGGGGAAUUUUGGACAAUGGGCGCAAGCCUGAUCCAGCCAUGCCGCGUGCAGGAUGAAGGCCUUCGGGUUGUAAACUGCUUUUGUACGGAACGAAAAGCUCUCUCUAAUACAGGGGUGAAUGACGGUACCGUAAGAAUAAGCAACCGGCUAACUACGUGCCAGCAGCCGG